This 76-nucleotide transfer RNA is filed under the name Alphaproteobacteria bacterium. RNAcentral describes it as "tRNA-Trp". It matches the Rfam family "tRNA". From Rfam's summary of the family: Transfer RNA (tRNA) molecules are approximately 80 nucleotides in length. Lineage: Bacteria; Pseudomonadati; Pseudomonadota; Alphaproteobacteria. The record is from RNAcentral.
AGGAGUGUAGCUCAACUGGUAGAGCGCCGGUCUCCAAAACCGGAGGUUGCGGGUUCGAGCCCCUCCACUCCUGCCA